GUGGGGAAUAUUGGACAAUGGGGGGAACCCUGAUCCAGCCAUGCCGCGUGUGUGAAGAAGGCCUUUUGGUUGUAAAGCACUUUAAGCGAGGAGGAGGCUACCGAGAUUAAUACUCUUGGAUAGUGGACGUUACUCGCAGAAUAAGCACCGGCUAACUCUGUGCCAGCAGCCGCGGUAAUACAGAGGGUGCAAGCGUUAAUCGGAUUUACUGGGCGUAAAGCGCGCGUAGGUGGCCAAUUAAGUCAAAUGUGAAAUCCCCGAGCUUAACUUGGGAAUUGCAUUCGAUACUGGUUGGCUAGAGUAUGGGAGAGGAUGGUAGAAUUCCAGGUGUAGCGGUGAAAUGCGUAGAGAUCUGGCGGAAUACCGAUGGCGAAGGCAGCCAUCUGGCCUAAUACUGACACUGAGGUGCGAAAGCAUGGGGAGCAAACAGGAUUAGAAACCCUGGUAGUCC
RNAcentral lists this ribosomal RNA (451 nucleotides) under uncultured bacterium. Its description in RNAcentral is "partial 16S ribosomal RNA". It matches the Rfam family "Bacterial small subunit ribosomal RNA", at positions 354 to 796 of the family's 1533-position model. The record is from RNAcentral.